Long non-coding RNA from Hirundo rustica (Barn swallow), 2687 nucleotides. RefSeq lists it as uncharacterized. Lineage: Eukaryota; Metazoa; Chordata; Aves; Passeriformes; Hirundinidae. The transcript has 5 exons. The record is from RefSeq and is a predicted model, not a curated record.
UGGCGGGAAACCCUUUUUUUGGACAAAAAUAUUUCGGGGCCCUGGAGCUGUUUAAGGCUUCUUCUGGUGCGUGUUGCCGGAGGAGAAGCUGCCGCUGCCAGCCCUGCCCUCGUGCCUGGGGCACGGCUGGCCGUGGGGCCGGGCAGGCCGGCUGUGCCACGGCCGCACCGAGCUGGCGGUGGCCGCAGCGGCGCCUCGCCCUGCGCCGUGACGGGAUGGGCUGUGGCACGGCGCCUCCCAACCCCUGGAACAAACUGCCCGUGGGCUGCUUUGAUGUUCUUUGUCAAUGGGACCAUGAGGCCUUACCCGCCUUUCUAAUUGGGCCGGUGGCACGGCCAUCUUCAGAGCUAUCAACAAGUGGCUCUGUUGGACACGGUGGAAGCUUCUAGCAGCUUCUCCCAGAAGCCACCUCUGUGGGCUCCCUGCUGCUACCACAAAACCAGGCUGUGCCAAAUCAACAUGGCAGUGUUUGGUAGGACUGCUGAGGUGCAAUGAUGAGCUUGUCCUUUUGUAACUUCUUGCUCUGAGCCUGAGUGAAUGACAAAAUUCCCGUAGCUGGUGUCAGUGAUUUAAGCAUGGCAAGAAACUCACUCCCUGUGCCGAGUGCCCCCCUAGGCCCGGAGUCUGUGAGCAAGAACCUGAAUGUAUUGGGUGAUGUAACCUAGAAAUGUGUGUUCUAUUUCAUCUGUGGAAAGCAGUUUUUUGGGACAUGUUUUAUCCUUCAGUUACCCUUCCAGGGGAGAGGGAGACUGAUGCCUUCUGAUACUGGCCCAGCCAUGAAAACCAGGUGAGGCAGUGUUUCUUACCUCUUUCAGCACUCCUCAGUCCUCCAGGGGGGCAUUUUAAGGAUGGCCUGGAGCUGUUGGAUCUGCCCUGGACAGCAGGCAGGCAUAGACCCUCUGCUGCUGCUGGACUCUGGGCACCCACCCCCCCACCUAGAACCGCGGUUCCAGAGCGACCUAGAACCUCGGGCCCACCUACCUAGACCCGGUCCCUUGGUCUGGACCACCCAGUUGGAUUUGUCCCAAACCCACACUGGAUUUGUCCUGGGAACUGGAAUGGAGUCAGCAAAGGGGCAAAGAAAACUAAGACUGGAUUGCUCACGGAGUCUGGAUUGGCGUCACCAGGAUGGAGGGAAAAUCUGGACUGUAGUCUGGGCAGUGAGUCCAGUCUGUGUAGAAUGCAAGUGCAUAACUCAGGAGUGAUCCCAUCCCACUGAAGAUUUUCCAUGAAAUUUGAUUGAAAGUGGAGUUGCUGAGCAAAGUUUUAACAGUGAGAAAGCAGCAGGUUCUCUAGGCUUUGACAGUCUGGAAGCACUGGACGGGUCCUAUUUCUAGAUGGUGGCAUCGGUGUUGGAGUCUAUGGGAAGCCUGGAAAAGCAAGGUCUUGUUCACGAGGAGCCGCUUCGUCUUGAAAGUCAACGUGUCUCGCAAGAGGGAGCUGGCAAAAAAGGAGAGAGCCGCUAGGAAGCAAAGAAGCUGGCCCGAAGGCCUUAUCCCAGCCCAGGGUUCCCACUUUUCUCUCUGACUCCUGGAUAAUUGCUCGAACGUAACCAGGGAGCGUCCGUUUGAUUUCCUGCCUUUUCCAAUAAAUCCUUGCCUUCAGCUGGAGCGCGUUCCUGGUGUCCUCCUCCUCCUCCUCCUCCUGUUGCAUGGAUUUGUAAAUAAAGUUCAUGACUUCUGUCCCAAUGAAUUUUAUUAUUCUAGCGAUUGUGGCUCGCUUGUUCCACUGAAACUUCCCCGCUCUGCCGAGAGUUUGAGACGUCAAAUCCAGGUAAGACUGGAGUUUCUUUGGAUUGCUACUGCCACAAAACACAGGUAAAUCUUGGAGAAGUGUAACGUGACCUGUUUAGUUCUCACUUGCCUUUAAAAUCAGAGCAGAGGAGGCAGAUUUUAAAUCAUCCUUCCAUGAACUUCCACCAACUUCCUGACUGUCGCAAAAGUUUUCGAUGUUAGAAAUUCCCGAGCUUGUUUUCCAGGCGAGCUGGGAUUUGGGUGCUAUUCCUGCCUUUAUUUCAUGGUUUUCCUAUCUCUGAUUUUAGUGAGGGGAUAUUAAUCGCAAAUGCUGAUUUUCCAUCCCAGUUGGAAUUUUUGUACAUCUUAGGGCAUAUUUGCAAGGAAAUUUUCCAGAAGAGUGUCGCUAAACGGGCAUUGUGGAUCACCGUACCUGCAGAAUGCUGUAAAUUCCGAGGAAAACUUGCUGCGUGUUUAAUUGCCAUCAUGAAUCUCUCUGUAAAGUCAAAUUUACUGCAUUUUUAAUGCCAUGAAUCCCAUUACAACCUCAAUCCUGGCCUAAUUGCUGUUCCCUGGACACAAUGGGGUGGUUCUUUCCUGCCUUGGCACAUUUGGAUGUUCAUCCGAAUAUGUGGCAGAUUGUCUGCUGGCAACAAAGAAGUUGGUAAAUGACAGCCGUGGCCACCCACCGAAGGCCUGGGUAUAAUCAAGAGAGAGCAAAGCCUCUGUACUUUCUGCUCCAUUGAAGAACCCGAAGGGAGAAAGCUGCAAAUGCCACGGUGCUGUUUUUUCCUUUUUACCCCCUAACAGGUCUCAUUCUACCCACGUACAGUGUUAUUAGCAGCAGUCACUUGAUGUCGGGGUGUAUUUCAGAGGCAGCAAUAAAAGAAAGUCUAUUUUUUAUUCCGUAACUCUCCAAACCUCAUUGUUUCGUAAGAAAGAAAUCCAAAACAA